Molecule: ribosomal RNA, 732 nt
Filed under: uncultured Leptotrichia sp.
Lineage: Bacteria; Fusobacteriati; Fusobacteriota; Fusobacteriia; Fusobacteriales; Leptotrichiaceae
Description: bacterial SSU rRNA
Rfam family: Bacterial small subunit ribosomal RNA
Source: RNAcentral
GAUGAACGCUGACAGAAUGCUUAACACAUGCAAGUCUUUGGCGAACAUGCGCUUGCGCAGUCUAGCCAAGGCGGACGGGUGAGUAACGCGUAAGGAACUUGCCCUGCAGACAGGUAUAACAGACGGAAACGACUGAUAAGACCUGGUAUUGUCAGGCUGGCGCAUGCCGCGCCUGAUGAAAAGAGAUGCUGCAGGAGAGCCUUGCGUCCUAUUAGCUUGUUGGUGGGGUAACGGCCCACCAAGGCGAUGAUAGGUAGCCGGCCUGAGAGGGUGAACGGCCACAAGGGGACUGAGAUACGGCCCUUACUCCUACGGGAGGCAGCAGUGGGGAAUAUUGGACAAUGGGGGCAACCCUGAUCCAGCAAUUCUGUGUGCACGAAGAAGGUUUUCGGAUUGUAAAGUGCUUUCAGCAGGGAAGAAGAAAGUGACGGUACCUGCAGAAGAAGCGACGGCUAAAUACGUGCCAGCAGCCGCGGUAAUACGUAUGUCGCAAGCGUUAUCCGGAAUUAUUGGGCAUAAAGGGCAUCUAGGCGGCCCUGUAAGUCUAGGGUGAAAACCUGCGGCUCAACCGCAGGCCUGCCCCGGAAACUACAGGGCUAGAGUGCCGGAGAGGUGGACGGAACUGCACGAGUAGAGGUGAAAUUCGUAGAUAUGUGCAGGAAUGCCGAUGAUGAAGAUAGUUCACUGGACGGCAACUGACGCUGAAGUGCGAAAGCUAGGGGAGCGAACAGG